This 438-nucleotide ribosomal RNA is filed under the name Escherichia coli. RNAcentral's name for it is "partial 23S ribosomal RNA". It matches the Rfam family "Bacterial large subunit ribosomal RNA", at positions 1292 to 1732 of the family's 2925-position model. The record is from RNAcentral. Lineage: Bacteria; Pseudomonadati; Pseudomonadota; Gammaproteobacteria; Enterobacterales; Enterobacteriaceae. RNAcentral also lists the same sequence under 1 other name.
GAAUGCUGACAUAAGUAACGAUAAAGCGGGUGAAAAGCCCGCUCGCCGGAAGACCAAGGGUUCCUGUCCAACGUUAAUCGGGGCAGGGUGAGUCGACCCCUAAGGCGAGGCCGAAAGGCGUAGUCGAUGGGAAACAGGUUAAUAUUCCUGUACUUGGUGUUACUGCGAAGGGGGGACGGAGAAGGCUAUGUUGGCCGGGCGACGGUUGUCCCGGUUUAAGCGUGUAGGCUGGUUUUCCAGGCAAAUCCGGAAAAUCAAGGCUGAGGCGUGAUGACGAGGCACUACGGUGCUGAAGCGACAAAUGCCCUGCUUCCAGGAAAAGCCUCUAAGCAUCAGGUAACAUCAAAUCGUACCCCAAACCGACACAGGUGGUCAGGUAGAGAAUACCAAGGCGCUUGAGAGAACUCGGGUGAAGGAACUAGGCAAAAUGGUGCCGUA